GUGCCAGCCGCCGCGGUAAAACGUAGGAGCCUAGCGUUAUCCGAAUUCACUGGGCGUAAAGCGCGUGCAGGCGGCUUGGUAAGUUGGAUGUGAAAUCUCUCGGCUCAACUGGGAGAGGACGUUCAAUACUGCCAGGCUAGAGGGCGGAAGAGGGAGGUGGAAUUCCCGGUGUAGUGGUGAAAUGCGUAGAUAUCGGGAGGAACACCAGUGGCGAAGGCGGCCUCCUAGGCCGCUCCUGACGCUCAGACGCGAAAGCUAGGGGAGCGAACGGGAUUAGAAACCCCCGUAGUCC
RNAcentral lists this ribosomal RNA (292 nucleotides) under uncultured bacterium. RNAcentral's name for it is "partial 16S ribosomal RNA". It matches the Rfam family "Bacterial small subunit ribosomal RNA", at positions 505 to 796 of the family's 1533-position model. The record is from RNAcentral.